CUUUGCUAUUUCACGAACAGUAAACUGGCAUUCCAAAAAAAAUUGAAGAAUAUCCUCUGGUAUAUUAAAUUGCUUAAUUCCAGGAGCUCGGUACAUAGUCGAAGAACCAUGAUUUAAACACUUCAACCGAAGGUUCAUUAUUGCAGAUCCAUCAGUAACACCUAAAUUUUGCAACUCAUAUUUCGAUAAUUUUCCAACUAUAUCUGGUGUAAUCUUUUCAUCAUUAAAACGCGAUACUAACGUACCAAGGUUUAAAUCUUUCAAAAUGUCAUCCAUUUUGCAAACAAGACUAACAGAUUUGAGCGGGGUUUAUCGUAACUUCAGAGAAGCGGAUCGGAAUCAGUUUUGACGUAGACAGUAAUCGUUCUAAUCGUAAUCAUGUUUAUUGACCAUAACAACGAUGAAAGCACAUCAUAUAAUGUCGUUCUGACACCAUAUAAUGAAGUUAGUCUAACCACAUAAUAUAAUGAUAAGAUCACAUCAUAUAAAGAUGAAUGCACACAAUAUAAGGGUAAACGCACAUAAAAUAAAGACAAUUGUACAACAUAUAAUGCUCUUUGUACAUAAUAUAAGGACACAAUCAUAUCAUAUAAGGAUACAUGCACGACAUAUAAGUAUAAAUGCACAUCACAUAAGGAUGUAAGCACAACAUAUAAGUAUACAUGCACAUCAUAUAAGUAUAUAUGCACAUCAUGUAAGUAUAUAUGCACAUUAUAUAGGUAAAUAUGCACAUCAUAUAAGUAUAUUUGUACACCAUAUAAGUACAUAUGCACAUCAUAUAGGGAUAUUUGCACAGCAUAUAAUGAUAUUUGGACAUCAUAUAAGUAUAUAUGCACAUCAUAAAAGUGUUAAUGCACAUCAUAUUAGGAUGUUUGGACAGCAUAUAAUGUCAACUGGACAUCAUAUAAAUGUUUGUACACAUCAUAUAUUGACAAAUGCACAUCACAUAAGGGUAAAAUCACAUCAUAUAAUGUCAAAUGGCCAUUAUAAGACAGUUUUGGCGUUCCAUA
This 1010-nucleotide long non-coding RNA is filed under the name Mytilus galloprovincialis (Mediterranean mussel). Lineage: Eukaryota; Metazoa; Mollusca; Bivalvia; Mytilida; Mytilidae. The record is from RNAcentral.